This 504-nucleotide long non-coding RNA is filed under the name Anas platyrhynchos platyrhynchos (common mallard). Its description in RNAcentral is "lncRNA (ENSAPLG00000017064.1)". The record is from RNAcentral. Lineage: Eukaryota; Metazoa; Chordata; Aves; Anseriformes; Anatidae.
GAGGACCCUGCUCUACCUUUUUAAGACCAAUGCAGUGUCCAGGGCAGUGGGGGAAAGAUCUCCCACUAUCAGACAGCUCUCUAUCUCUACACUCCUCUAUCAAUGCAAGUCCUGAGUGACAUUAAAAGAGUUGGUACCUUCUUCUGAUAUGGGGGAGUUACAGCUAACUCACAUCAGUGUUACUCAUAUUUGUAUAGGAAACUUGGCUUUCAGAGUACACAGUGGUACGUGUAGAAUCCUCCAUGUAUGCAGUCCUGGGAAAUGAUGCAUCAAACAACACCUUCUGCAGACAAUUUUGAAGAAACUGGAAAACCUAUUAGCAGUGUUACACCAGUUUUCAUCAAUGGUGCUCAUCACCAUGUUCCAGCAGACUUCAUCUCUCCACUUGAAUUUGAUCAGAAAUAUCCUGUGGUGAAAACAACUUUGGCAGCAGUACCAGAAAGAGUACUUAAGUUUAAAGAGGUCUAUAUUCUUUUUCCUCUGUCCAACACUUUGGAAUCCUAA